Molecule: ribosomal RNA, 939 nt
Filed under: Phaffia rhodozyma
Lineage: Eukaryota; Fungi; Basidiomycota; Tremellomycetes; Cystofilobasidiales; Mrakiaceae
Description: LSU rRNA
Rfam family: Eukaryotic large subunit ribosomal RNA
Source: RNAcentral
GCAUAUCAAUAAGCGGAGGAAAAGAAACUAACAAGGAUUCCCCUAGUAACGGCGAGUGAAGCGGGAUGAGCUCAAAUUUGAAAUCUGGCAGCCUCCGGUUGUCCGAGUUGUAAACUAGAGAAGCGUUUUCCGUGCCGGCCUGUGUACAAGUCCCUUGGAAUAGGGCGUCAUAGAGGGUGAGAAUCCCGUCCUUGACACAGACCACCGGUGCUAUGUGAUACGCUCUCGACGAGUCGAGUUGUUUGGGAAUGCAGCUCAAAUUGGGUGGUAAAUUCCAUCUAAGGCUAAAUAUUGGCGAGAGACCGAUAGCGAACAAGUACCGUGAGGGAAAGAUGAAAAGCACUUUGGAAAGAGAGUUAAACAGUACGUGAAAUUGUUGAAAGGGAAACGAUUGAAGUCAGUCAUGCGUGCUCGGACUCAGCUGGGUUCGUCCCAGUCUAUUUCCGGGUGCCGCAGGUCAGCAUCAGUUUCGGGCGGUGGAAAACGGGCGGGGGAAGGUGGCAUCUCCGGAUGUGUUAUAGCCCCCGUUUGGAUGCAUCGCGUGGGACUGAGGAACGCAGCGCGCCUCUUUACGGGGUCGGUCUCCGGACACGAACGCGCUUAGGAUGCUGGCAUAAUGGCUUUAAACGACCCGUCUUGAAACACGGACCAAGGAGUCUAACAUGUGUGCGAGUAUUUGGGUGGCAAACCCGAGUGCGGAAUGAAAGUAAAUGCAGGUGGGAUCCGCAAGGAGCACCAUCGACCGAUCUGGAUCUUUUGUGAUGGAUUUGAGUAAGAGCAUAUAUGUUGGGACCCGAAAGAUGGUGAACUAUGCCUGAAUAGGGCGAAGCCAGAGGAAACUCUGGUGGAGGCUCGUAGCGAUUCUGACGUGCAAAUCGAUCGUCAAAUUUGGGUAUAGGGGCGAAAGACUAAUCGAACCAUCUAGUAGCUGGUUCCUGC